This 3009-nucleotide ribosomal RNA is filed under the name uncultured archaeon. Its description in RNAcentral is "bacterial LSU rRNA". The stretch from base 1 to 2658 matches the Rfam family "Archaeal large subunit ribosomal RNA". The record is from RNAcentral.
CCUACUCCAUUAGGUGAAUGACUUGGCUCAAGUGCUGAUGAAGGGCGUGGCAAGCUGCGAUAAGUUCCAGUGAAGUGCACGCAACUUUUGAGCUGGAAAUCCCUGAAUGAGACUUCUCAUUAGAUCUGAAAAGAUAGGGAACCCAGGGAAUUGAAACAUCUUAGUACCUGGAGGAAAAGAAAUUAAUAAAGAUGUCGUGAGUAUCAGCGAGAAAAAACGACAUAGAGCAAACUGAAUCUUUUUUAGAAAUAAAAAAGAAAUGUAGUGUAAUAGGACCUUACUUAUGAUCUGAGUUAGAUUUAGUCAAAGUUCUUUGGAAAAAGAUACCUAAGAGGGUGAUAGUCCCGUAGAUUAAACUAACAGACUUAUAAGGUAUCCUGAGUAGCGCUCAUUGGAUAUUGGGCGUGAAUUUGGGAGAUAUUAACUUCCAACUCUAAAUACUACUUGAGACCGAUAGCAAAAAGUACUGCGAAGGAAAGUUGAAAAGAACCUUUAACAUGGAGUGAAAAGAACCUGAAACCUAAUGGAUACAGAAUGAUACUAUUCUUCGGAAUUGUAUCGUGCGUUUCGAAUAACGAGCCAGGGAGUGCAUUUAAGUGGCGAGAGUAAAAAUUUUACAAUUUGUACUCGCAAGGAAACUAAAAAUCUGCAUUUCACGAAAGAGAUUAGGUAUGAAAGUGCCUAGAGUCACUUGAAUGCGACCUGAAUCCAGUCGAUCUAUCCCAGAGUAAGGUGAAGCAGGGGUAAAACCUUGUGGAGGCCUGAAGCAGUUCUAGUGUAAAUCUGUUUGUAUAACUUUGGAUUAGGGGUGAAAAGCCAAUCGAGACUGGUUAUAGCUGGUUCCUGUCGAAAUAGGCCUUAGUCUAGUCUUGAAUGAGGUAGUUGGAAUUGUAGAGCUACGGAUUUAGGAGCAAGGGGAAGAAAUUCCUCCCUUCUUUGUCCAACUCCGAAUGUUCUAACAUCAUAGAAUUCAGGAAAAAGCGGCGUGGGAUAAGCUCAUGUUGCAAGAGGGGAACAACCCAGACUAUAGUUAAGGUCCCUAAAUACUGGUUAAGUGUCAAAGGGUAAAAGGUGUAUAUAACCAGAGACAUGAGGGAGGUAUGCUUAGAAGCAGCAAUCCUUUAAAGAAAGCGUAAUAGCUCACCUUUCAAGGUUAUACGCCCUGAAGAUGGACGGGGCUAAAUCAGUUACCGAUACUAUAGACUAGUUUAAAAAACUAAGUGGUAGGCAGGCGCUUUAUUAGGGUAGAAGCUUUUUCAAAAGAAAAAGUGGACCUAAUAAAAUUGAGAAUCCUGGUAGUAGUAGGAGCAAUAUAGGGUAAGACUCCCUAAUAUCUGAAGAGUAAGGGUUUCUUAGCAAUGCAAAUCAGCUAAGAGUAAGUUAAUCCUAACCAAAGGCCUAACAGGUCUUCGGGAAUGGGAAAAAGGUUAAUAUUCCUUUACUGUUUAAGUACAUGUGGCAACACAAAUUUAAUUUCAGACGCUUUGGGCUAAAUCAAUAUCUAUUGUCGUAGAUAUUAAUUAGAGCAAAUCAAGGAAGUACUGUAAUGGUGAGAACUUGAUUAAUUCUAAGAAUAGUAGGCCUUAUGGUUUAUUUGAUUGAUGCCUUGAGCCCGUGAAAAUGAAAUUAAUUGAAUCUUGAACAAUUAUACCCAGAACCAACACAGGUACUCUAGGUGAGAAGCCUAAGAUAAGAUGGUCUAAACUAACUAAGGGAAAUCGGCAAUUUAGUUCCGUAUCUUUGGUAGAAGGAAUCCCUGCGGUUGUGGUCUUAUGAUUGCAAUUACAGGGCUCAGUAACAAGGCGGGUCCGACUGUUUAACAAAAACGCAAUGUCGGGAGUACUUAGUUCAAUAUAUAUUGAGUAUUGAGGCUGAAAGUAAAAGGAAAUUUUUGGAAAAUAUUCCUGUUGAACAUCCAGUACUCCUGAAAAACCUUUAACAAUUCUAGACUAUAAUUCUCUUAAGGUAGCGAAAUUAUCAUUAAUCUCGCUUUAGAUUUAAGAUGAAAAAAAGCCAUUCAUCUAAGAGAAUAGCCUUUGGGUUUGUUAAACAAAUGAGAGAAAAAUUUUAGCAAUGGGAUUAAUGAUAUCGUUGUACCUUGUCGUUUGAAUGACGACGCGCAUGAAUGGCGUAACGAGAUCCGCACUGUCCCUAGUUAGUGUCCACUGAAAAUACCCUUCUGGUGUGCAGGCCAGAGACCUCCAGCGGGAAGAAAAGACCCCGUAGAACUUUACUGUAGUUUGUUGUUGUGAUAUAGAUUCUACUGUGUAGCAUAGGUGGUAGUUGCUAUGCCUUGGCUGCUAGGUCAAGGAUAGACAAAACUGAAAUACCACUCUGCAGAAUUUAUGUUGCUUACUAACCUGUUAGGACAGCAGCAGAUAGACAGUUUGGCUGGGGCGGCACCCUGUUGAAAAGAUAUCAACAGGGCCCAAAGGUCAACUCAAGAUGUUUGGAAAUCAUCUGAAGAGUGCAAGAGCAAAAGUUGGCUUGACUGGAUUUUGACCAUUAAAAAAUCCAGAGACAAAAGUCUGGUCUAGCGAACCCCUAUGUCCUUAUUAAUAGGGGCUAGGUAUGACAGAAAAGCUAUCUCGGGGAUAAUCUAGGAGAAACAUCAAAAGCUUAUAUACAACUAUCACCGAGUAUUAAAUAUGAAUAAAAAAUUUGCAUAUUUAAUCGGUGUGUUGCAUGAUGCACAUAUUAUCAACAAGAAAUCAAAUUCCCAAUAUGGUUUUGAAAUUGAGCAAAAAAAUAAAAAAUACGCUGAAUUUUUGUCAACUUUCUUUUCACAGUUAUUCAAAAUUGAAAAACCAAAGUUAGAAUUACGUGAAAGAAGUUGGGGAAAUUAUUGGCGUAUUAGAAUUUAUUCAAAGAAAAUAUUUGAAGAAAUUGUUCAAUAUGACUUUACAAAAAUAAUUAAGUCGCAAUCAAAACAAAUUAAAAAGGAAAUGAUUCGAGGAUUUUAUGAUGCUGAAGGAUCAGUAAGCAGUGAUGAAGUAAGAAUGUUUAAUA